CCCACACACAUCACACACCUCACCCGUGCGGGUUAGGGAAGCCCGCACGUGCUCGUGCGGCUUAGGCCGAGCCUGCAUGCACGCAGCCAUCAGGCCUUAAGGCUCCACAACUUGCUCGAGUUUCUCCUCAACUGGGCCUGCGGCUGCUGCUAGGCUAGGGUACUGGGCCAACUCGCUGGGCUAGACAUUCGGCCCAGUUUCUUCUCCCUCAAG
This 213-nucleotide long non-coding RNA is filed under the name Carica papaya (papaya). Its description in RNAcentral is "long non-coding RNA (CPAP_LNC016515)". Lineage: Eukaryota; Viridiplantae; Streptophyta; Magnoliopsida; Brassicales; Caricaceae. The record is from RNAcentral.